GCGGGUAUCGGGAGGAACUAAGCCAUGCGAGUCAUUGUAGCAAUACAAGGCAGACGGCUCAGUAACGCGUAGUCAACCUAACCUAUGGACGGGAAUAAUCUCGGGAAACUGAGAAUAAUGCCCGAUAGAACACUAUAUCUGGAAUGGUUUGUGUUCCAAAUGAUUUAUCGCCAUAGGAUGGGACUGCGGCCUAUCAGUUUGUUGGUGAGGUAAUGGCCCACCAAGACUAUUACAGGUACGGGCUCUGAGAGGAGUAGCCCGGAGAUGGGUACUGAGACACGGACCCAGGCCCUAUGGGGCGCAGCAGGCGAGAAAACUUUGCAAUGUGCGAAAGCACGACAAGGUUAAUCCGAGUGGUUCCUGCUAAAGGAACCUUUUGUCGGUCCUAGAAACACCGAUGAAUAAGGGGUGGGCAAGUUCUGGUGUCAGCCGCCGCGGUAAAACCAGCACCUCAAGUGGUCAGGAUGAUUAUUGGGCCUAAAGCAUCCGUAGCCGGCUCUGUAAGUUUUCGGUUAAAUCUGUACGCUUAACGUACAGGCUGCCGGGAAUACUGCAUAGCUAGGGAGUGGGAGAGGUAGACGGUACUCGGUAGGAAGGGGUAAAAUCCUUUGAUCUAUUGAUGACCACCUGUGGCGAAGGCGGUCUACCAGAACACGUCCGACGGUGAGGGAUGAAAGCUGGGGGAGCAAACCGGAUUAGAUACCCGGGUAGUCCCAGCUGUAAACUAUGCAAACUCAGUGAUGCAUUGGCUUGUGGCCAAUGCAGUGCUGCAGGGAAGCCGUUAAGUUUGCCGCCUGGGGAAGUACGUACGCAAGUAUGAAACUUAAAGGAAUUGGCGGGGGAGCACCACAAGGGGUGAAGCCUGCGGUUCAAUUGGAGUCAACGCCGGG
This 890-nucleotide ribosomal RNA is filed under the name uncultured archaeon. RNAcentral's name for it is "bacterial SSU rRNA". It matches the Rfam family "Archaeal small subunit ribosomal RNA", at positions 26 to 922 of the family's 1478-position model. The record is from RNAcentral.